Odontomachus brunneus is the source of this 3827-nucleotide long non-coding RNA. RefSeq lists it as uncharacterized. The transcript has 3 exons. The record is from RefSeq and is a predicted model, not a curated record. Lineage: Eukaryota; Metazoa; Arthropoda; Insecta; Hymenoptera; Formicidae.
CUCUCUCUCUCUGUUUUCCUUCUCUGUCGACGGUCGCGUUCCGAUUCUUACAGUCUUACGACAAAUUGCUUGUUUUGGCCGUUCUCAGGCAGCCGACCCGUUUGCACUCGCACUCGCUCUGCCGCGAGUUUUCUCGCGUCGCGUUUCCGCCGCCAACUUCAGGUUCCCACGCUUUCGGCGCGCCAGCCACGGGGAGAGAACGCAGCCGCGGCCUCCGUUAUCGCGGCCACUGCCUCUCACGAGAGCAAGGUGACGUCUUCGUCCUCGUCGAGGCAAGCGUGCGCCCACGCAUAACCUCUCGGCGCGAGAGAUCCAUCACGGGAAAGAUCGGAGCGACGGUGAUUCGUCGCGAACGCGCGCCGAAGGGCGCCUCGAUGUCCGGCGCAGCGGCGACGCUGAUAAGGCCGUUGACUCGUGUUCGGCCGCGAAAUUCCGCGAUACCGCCAGGGCCGUAAAAGAGACCACCGGUCUGUGGACGACUCGCGCGCGCUCUUCACGUCCGCCACGUUUGUCGUUCGCGAGUGCUCCGACCGCUCUGAAGUCCUCUCCGAAAGAAUAUCGCGCGACUAUCGCAGCGAAUCGUGAACGUAAGAAUACCUAGACGGAGCGCAAGAUGCAACGCGGCCAUGAAUAACGCGUGUCGUCGUCUCGGCAAGUUAGUAGUCGUGAACAGUCUCGACGACACUCACGAUGAGCCGCAAAACGUGAUCCUCUCUGGAGCACACAGAAAAACACAAAUUGCAUUCAGGUGAAAGUCUACACGAUGAGGGGGGCGAAGCGGGGACUCGAGACGCUACUGAUCGGAGCAGAAUUCGUACAGUAGAGUGUGGUGGUGGUGGCUGAGCGAGGAAGGUGAGUUGUGAUCGCUGGGGCGUGCGGUGGGGAGCGUGCAGCGGUUACCACGCUAUGCGACACGUGCGCGUGACGUCACGGGGCCGGUCACGCGAGCACCGUGUGCUCCCGGUCACGUGUCCUGUCACGCGUUCGCCGUUCCAUUCCUCCCUCCUUCUCCUCCUCCUCCUCCCUCUCUCUCUCUCUCUCUCUCGCUCGGCCUGCUGUGUGCCGGCCGGCGACAGCCCACGGCUCUCCUUUCUCGUCGCGACUACUCCUUUCGAACAUGCACGUAUACGUCGUCGCCUCUUUCGUGCGAGCCGAUUACGCUCCAAGUGCAUGUUCUUCCUCCCUUCGCCUCUCUCUCUCUCUUUCUCUCUCUCUCUCUCUCUCUCUCUCUCUCUCUUUGCACCAUCACCGGAGCCUUCACCCCGCCACCCGCUUCCUCUCUUGUAAUAUGCCUUAAGGUCGCGCUUUAUGAUUAUCUUUCGACUUUAGCGUUUACGUUUUAUGCGUUUUACGAUUAUCUUCUGACCUUUAGAGUCUUAAUCGCGGCCGGGCAGGAUUUUGCGAGCGGAGCUAGCGUAUAUUUAUAUGUUCUUCCACUUGAGACUUUAUAAAUAAAGAUAACCUUUCCCCCCUCCUCUGUGUGUGCGUGUGUAUGUGCGCGCGCGCGCGCGCGGGCGUUUGUGCGUCGUGUUUUGUGUUUCAAGCGGCUAAUUAAAAUUCCGCAUUAAUAAAGUAGCACGAUAAGCGCGGGUAUUAUUUAUAUUAAUUUGCUCGCGGCAUAGCGCAUCUAAAUUUGCCGUGGCUCGUAAAAUUGUUCGGUACAAACAAUAAUAGAUAUUUAAAGUGUGCGCGACGCAAAUAUAAAUGAAUAAUUUAUAUAGUUUUGAGAUAACGCAGGACCUCUACCUAUACGUAACGCGUGACUUGUUUGGCUCAUAUGCAAAUCUUAGUUCACGCAGAUAAUCCUGCGACCUGAGUUGUUUGUCGGCAAUAUGUUGCUCUCUUAUCGUAGACUCGUGGCCUCCUCUUCUUCACUCUGCAUACAUUGUUUAAAAUUACGUACGUUGCGUCAUUCUUAGCCGCUCCAUAUUUCUACGCGCGUUACCUCUCGUCGUUAUCCGAAGAGCGUCCCUCUCGACAUCGUUGUUCUCGCGUGUCUACCACCGCGACUCUCGAGAGUGAAUCUCGUCGUGAAACGAUCCCUAAAUAGACCUUCAUGAUUAUUACGACGUCAGACAAUCGCUGAUGGAAACUUUUUCAAUUACAUUUAUGAAGCAACAUAUUGAAUUAAUCGUUAAAUUUACAUCACGCAAUGACGUAUGUUUUUCAUUAUAUUUAUGCGACGAAUUUUUAUUAAAGAUUGGACUCAGAUUUUCAUCUUGCGUAUUGUAUCGAGUAAAUUUUCUUGUAUUUUUUUCUCGUAUUUAUACUUUAUUGUUCUACACUAAAUAAAAAAUAGUUGAGAAUUUAUUUGUGGAAUAAAAGCAUAUUUCACAGAAAUAAACUUCGUAUUCGACAAAGAAAUUUUUCAAUAUUUCUUCUUCAAUAUAUGUGAGUAUCAUAUGAAUCACUAACAUGAUACAACCUUUACAAAUCGACUAACAAAGCUGCCAAAUUUACGUGAGAGAGACAUAAAUACAACUGUUUAUCUAAGCUGCGAGGGAAAAAAAUUUCGAUAAAAAAAAGAAAGAUUUUUUAAAUGUUCAGCACAAAGAUUACGACACUUAUUCGGACAGAUUUGUACAAGACAAUGAUAUUUAUGCUUCUGCGCGUAUAAAUUGCUUAUAUGCAUCUCAUAUUUAAGAAUUCGACAGCUUUCAAAGCUCUCAAUGCUCGAGCUAGUGUCUACCAUUAGUCGACGAAAAUUUCAGUUGACUAAAGUAAUCGGCAAACCAACCAUUAAAAUUAAACAGUUGUCAUACAUUAUGUAAUCACGAACAAUUCCAUCGACUGGUGAAAUUAAUUAUUAAUCGAGCGCAUACACUUGAUUGAUUGAAUAUACACUGAUUAAUAAUUAAUUUCAUCGAUCGCGAUUAAAUUAUUCGUGAUUACACACAUGUGGUAACUCAAGGCUCAAAUCCCCACAGAGACUCGCGCAGUCUCGUGAAAUUCGCGUGUUCAUAAACCUGUGCGAAAGAGGAAGUGUCGCAAGCUUAAUGCGGACAACUGUAACGCUAGGAUUUUCCAAUGCAUAUAUAUACAGGACGUCUCAGACUCUCUUCCGCAAUUUUUGUGAAAACGUAAAACAGAUUGAGGUGAACAUAAAAGCCCUAUACCAUUUUGGGGUCAUUCGCAAUAAUAACUAAGAUAAGAUUAAUUAAAGAAGUUUGGUGAAUGAUGACGCGCAAUAUGGUAAAUGAGCUGAAGUGACUAUGUGUGCUGUGCAUCAGAUCAAAUUGAACAAAAAAAUCUUUUAUCAAUUUGCAAAUAAUCACGUAGAUUUUUAGUUAUUAAUGGAAGAAAAUUGUCACAAGAUUAUACGCAAUAGUGCACAAAUUUUUUUUAAUUAAUAUGUAAAAAUCUAUGUGGUUACAUUUGCAAAAUGGUAGGAGACUUUUUUAUUCAGUUUAAUUUAAUAUAUAAGUAUACAACAUUAGAAGGCGUCACUACAACUCAUCUAUCAUAUCACACAUGAUUAUUCACCGAUCUCCUUUAAGGACUGAAGGGUCAGGUUGCCUGAAAAUCAUGCUUGUUUUUUCACAAUUUUUUAUGAUAAGUGUGAACCACUAGAAAUUGAGUAACAAAAUUGCAAAUAUUUCAAUGGAAUAUUAUUAAAUUUUCCGUUCUUUUAUAGUAAAAAAAUUAAUAUCAAAAUUAAAUAUUUUCAUGGGUUUGUCAGUGGUUCACAUGAUAACAACAAGCUUAUGGAAAUUUUAUACCUAAAAUUCAACUUAAUUGAACCACCGAAAGUCAAGAUAUUACUGCAAAAUGUCGACUUUGAAAAGAAAAACGAAAUAUAUUUUAACUGCAUAUAUCAUAUAGACUUA